Molecule: long non-coding RNA, 221 nt
Filed under: Lathyrus oleraceus (garden pea)
Lineage: Eukaryota; Viridiplantae; Streptophyta; Magnoliopsida; Fabales; Fabaceae
Description: Pisum sativum (pea) long non-coding RNA (PSAT_LNC012327)
Source: RNAcentral
UUAAAGAUGAAAACGCUGGUACAUCAGUAAUUAUUAUUGCUCGUAAUAAAAAAAGGCCUAGUAGAGGAGAAGAAAAACAAAAUAAAUACUAAAUGAAGAAACAUCAAAGAGACUUAUCAGUGAAAAACUUGAAGAAGUUUGAAAAUGAAAAGCAUGAACACUUCGAAAGAAAAGAAGUCAACGAUGGAAAACAUGAAUGAAACAAGAAAGAAAAAGAAAAU